AGGCGUCCGCGCUGCAAGGUCGCUGGGACACGGGAUAGAGGGGAAGGUCGGCUGGGGACACGUCGCGGCGUGACUGAGGGCGGUGGGGUCCCUGCCGCCGGCCCGCCCGUCAGAGGACGGGUGGCUUAGGCCGGGCCGCAGCCACUCGCUUCAGCGUCUCCUCAGCCGUUCGCAGCCAGAGUGCGGCUGCCUCACGCGUACCGGUGGGCUCUGCGACUUUAGAGUCCGCUUUGUCUUGCGUGCCAGGUGGUGUGAAGCUGUGAAUUCUCCACAGCAUGAUGGAGAGGGACUUAGUAGGACACGUUAUGCCUGUCAGGUGGACGAAGUUGGGCAGGUGCAGGAACAUUUACUCUCCGAGUUGUACCUUUGUAGCUGUUUAAACCAAGAUGUUACUUUGAUAUAAACCCUGAGUAUAUGUACCUUUGUUUCCUAUAGUAGGUACUUAUUAUUGAAACCCUGUGGAAAGUAGACUUUUACACAUUCUUUUUAAAUAAGAGUGAAUUUAUUGUGUUUGUACUGAUACUGUUGUAGCCCCUAAAGAUCAAGGGCUAAGAUAGUCAGGCAUACCUGCUUCUCUGGGCAACAUCAAGUGAUGUAAGAAACACUGCGGCUUGUUUGGCCUGCGAGGUAAAAGUUCCAUAUUCUGUUACAAGCUCGGUUAGUCAUUGAAUUUUAUUAACUAUGGGGAAAAAAGAAAAUGGUGUAUUUUGAAACUGCUUUGUUUUAGACUUCAAAUAUUUACCAUCUGAAGCAGUAACAUUUGUAAUUAGAUAAACAUAACAAGCUAACAAAGCUCUAAGGUUUAGCAUGCCAAAGCUCGAUGCAAAUGUAGCAAUUAACAUUUCAAGAUGUCUGAAUUGAGGUUAUUUUUAUAGCCUUUUUUCUUUUUAAGUUCAUAAAGUAAGACUUCCUUUUGUCAUUUUGUGUUUUAAUUAUCUGCUGCACUGUAAUUAAAGAUAUUAACGUUCAGAUUUAUCUGCUCUGUGCUAUUAUUGUAGAGUAAAACCAGGAUUUCUAGAAUAUAUUUAAAAUAAUAAAUUCUCUUUACCUACGUAGAUGCCAGUUUGCAAUGGGACUUAAAACCAUCUGGAAGGACUACAAAGUUAUGAUUGUUAUGGGAACUAGCCUUGGGCUGGUGCACUGGGGGUGGUUUUACAUCAAGUCCAGUCCUAUUUUCCAAGUGAAGACAGAGGAGUUUGUUCCAGAACCUGGGAUUGUGGCAUACGUGAUGCAAAGUGAUCACAAAAAUAAAGAAAAAUAGCAUUAGUGCUAUGUAUUGUGGGUAUAACUAGCUUUGAAGCUUUCCGUCUGUGAGUGUUGCCAGAAGAAGAGAUGAAGAAAGCUAGCUGGAGUAGAAAGAACUUUCUGCUUGUGGCAGGACUGUCACUUAUAGGUGUCCAUUUUGGAAGCAUGCUUGUAAACUUUGUUGCAAAAAAAUCUGUUCAAUCACAUUCAGAAGCUAAAAAAGGAGAUAGUCAUGAAUGAAAUAGCUUACUGCUGUCAUUAUGUAUCAAUUUCAUGAUAGGAUUUAAGCCUCAUUGUAAGAGGUAGAUCAUGAGCAGUCAUAGGAAUGUUGUUACUGUACUGUAUAUACUGUUUCACAUUUAAAAUCAUAAUCCUUAGCUGCAAAGAAUUAAAAUGUACUGCUUUAAAUUU
Molecule: long non-coding RNA, 1656 nt
Organism: Haliaeetus leucocephalus (bald eagle)
Lineage: Eukaryota; Metazoa; Chordata; Aves; Accipitriformes; Accipitridae
Exons: 2
Source: RefSeq, a predicted model, not a curated record